UGCCCUUUUUAUGUUGUACUACU
This 23-nucleotide microRNA is filed under the name Xenopus laevis (African clawed frog). RNAcentral describes it as "xla-miR-130a-5p". Its record names the gene xla-miR-130a-5p. The record is from miRBase by way of RNAcentral. Lineage: Eukaryota; Metazoa; Chordata; Amphibia; Anura; Pipidae.